AACGAACGCUGGCGGCAGGCCUAACACAUGCAAGUCGAGCGAGGACUUCGGUCCUAGCGGCGGACGGGUGAGUAACGCGUGGGAACGUGCCCUUUGCUUCGGAAUAGCCCUGGGAAACUGGGAGUAAUACCGGAUGAGCCCUUUGGGGGAAAGAUUCAUCGGCGAAGGAUCGGCCCGCGUUGGAUUAGGUAGUUGGUGGGGUAAUGGCCUACCAAGCCGACGAUCCAUAGCUGGUUUGAGAGGAUGAUCAGCCACACUGGGACUGAGACACGGCCCAGACUCCUACGGGAGGCAGCAGUGGGGAAUCUUAGACAAUGGGGGAAACCCUGAUCGAGCCAUGCCGCGUGAGCGAUGAAGGCCUUAGGGUUGUAAAGCUCUUUCAGCUGGGAAGAUAAUGACGGUACCAGCAGAAGAAGCCCCGGCUAACUCCGUG
RNAcentral lists this ribosomal RNA (433 nucleotides) under uncultured bacterium. RNAcentral's name for it is "partial 16S ribosomal RNA". It matches the Rfam family "Bacterial small subunit ribosomal RNA", at positions 29 to 507 of the family's 1533-position model. The record is from RNAcentral.